This 497-nucleotide ribosomal RNA is filed under the name uncultured bacterium. RNAcentral describes it as "partial 16S ribosomal RNA". It matches the Rfam family "Bacterial small subunit ribosomal RNA", at positions 28 to 507 of the family's 1533-position model. The record is from RNAcentral.
GACGAACGCUGGCGGCGUGCCUAAUACAUGCAAGUUGAGCGAUGAAGAUUGGUGCUUGCACCAAUUUGGAGAGCAGCGAACGGGUGAGUAACGCGUGGGGAAUCUGCCUUUGAGCGGGGGACAACAUUUGGAAACGAAUGCUAAUACCGCAUAAUAACUUUAAACAUAAGUUUUAAGUUUGAAAGAUGCAAUUGCAUCACUCAAAGAUGAUCCCGCGUUGUAUUAGCUAGUUGGUGAGGUAAAGGCUCACCAAGGCGAUGAUACAUAGCCGACCUGAGAGGGCGAUCGGCCACAUUGGGACUGAGACACGGCCCAAACUCCUACGGGAGGCAGCAGUAGGGAAUCUUCGGCAAUGGACGAAAGUCUGACCGAGCAACGCCGCGUGAGUGAAGAAGGUUUUCGGAUCGUAAAACUCUGUUGGUAGAGAAGAACGUUGGUGAGAGUGGAAAGCUCAUCAAGUGACGGUAACUACCCAGAAAGGGACGGCUAACUACGUG